RNAcentral lists this microRNA precursor (119 nucleotides) under Marmota monax (woodchuck). Lineage: Eukaryota; Metazoa; Chordata; Mammalia; Rodentia; Sciuridae. The record is from RNAcentral.
UGGCCCGGACGGGGAAUUAUAUUCCUCGAACCCAGGAUCCAGAACUUUCAGCAGUCAGGGUGGUGCACCGGUAAGUUCUGGAUCCUGGGUUCGAGGAAUAUAAUUCCCCGUACGGGCCA